UGAUUUAGUCCUUCCCUGCUAAAUCAACAGUGGCAUCUCUCUCAGCUCAGGGUUGUGUGCAGAUGAGCUGCAGCAGGUGGGCUGUGCAGAGACAGUGAGGAUUUGCCCUGCUGCAUUGAAACUCUUGGAAUAUCAAAGUCACCCCAAGAUACCUGAGCCAACACAUGCCUACCUUCUGAUCUCAGUGGAUCGAGGGUUUUCCUGCCAUGUACAUUUGCUGCCUGGACAGCAGGGAAAUGGAGCAGUCUUCCCUCUCUUAGAUACGAUGAAACAUGAUGAAAAAUCCUGCUGGCUGGAUUUGGACCCUCUGUUCAGGCUGUGACAGCCACGGUAUUCCACACUUGGUGCCACUGUGAUCGCCAGACUUCCAGCAUGAGUAAGAGAACUUGGUUAAUAGCAAUUGUAUGCACUUUAUUUUUCCCCUUUCAGAGGUUAUAUCUGGUUACUGUGUGACUGGAACAAUGAGACUAACCUCAGUUUUACUGUAACAAAGCAGCUAUGAGCUUUCUGGGUAAAGUAUAUUUUGACUGACAUACAAGUAGCUGUAGCUUUGCUGCACAAUGGAGAAAAUGACUUCAUUUAACAGCUUUCUGUGCCAAGAAAGAAAUAAAACAGUUCUGAG
Long non-coding RNA from Cyanistes caeruleus (blue tit), 622 nucleotides. RefSeq lists it as uncharacterized. The record is from RefSeq and is a predicted model, not a curated record. Lineage: Eukaryota; Metazoa; Chordata; Aves; Passeriformes; Paridae.